Molecule: ribosomal RNA, 497 nt
Filed under: uncultured bacterium
Lineage: Bacteria
Description: partial 16S ribosomal RNA
Rfam family: Bacterial small subunit ribosomal RNA
Source: RNAcentral
GAUGAACGCUGGCGGCGUGCCUAAUACAUGCAAGUCGAGCGAACGGACGAGAAGCUUGCUUCUCUGAUGUUAGCGGCGGACGGGUGAGUAACACGUGGAUAACCUACCUAUAAGACUGGGAUAACUUCGGGAAACCGUAGCUAAUACCGGAUAAUAUUUUGAACCGCAUGGUUAAAAAGUGAAAGACGGUCUUGCUGUCACUUAUAGAUGGAUCCGCGCUGCAUUAGCUAGUUGGUAAGGUAACGGCUUACCAAGGCAACGAUGCAUAGCCGACCUGAGAGGGUGAUCGGCCACACUGGAACUGAGACACGGUCCAGACUCCUACGGGAGGCAGCAGUAGGGAAUCUUCCGCAAAGGGCGAAAGCCUGACGGAGCAACGCCGCGUGAGUGAUGAAGGUCUUCGGAUCGUAAAACUCUGUUAUUAGGGAAGAACAUAUGUGUAAGUAACUGUGCACAUCUUGACGGUACCUAAUCAGAAAGCCACGGCUAACUACGUG